This 440-nucleotide ribosomal RNA is filed under the name uncultured bacterium. Its description in RNAcentral is "bacterial SSU rRNA". It matches the Rfam family "Bacterial small subunit ribosomal RNA", at positions 338 to 795 of the family's 1533-position model. The record is from RNAcentral.
CCUACGGGCGGCUGCAGUGGGGAAUAUUGCACAAUGGAGGAAACUCUGAUGCAGCGACGCCGCGUGGAGGAAGAAGGUUUUCGGAUCGUAAACUCCUGUUGUCGGGGACGAUAAUGACGGUACCCGACAAGAAAGUGACGGCUAACUACGUGCCAGCAGCCGCGGUAAAACGUAGGUCACAAGCGUUGUCCGGAAUUACUGGGUGUAAAGGGAGCGCAGGCGGGGAGAUAAGUUGGGAGUGAAAACUAUGGGCUCAACCCAUAAAUUGCUUUCAAAACUAUCUUUCUUGAGUAGUGCAGAGGUAGGCGGAAUUCCCGGUGUAGCGGUGGAAUGCGUAGAUAUCGGGAGGAACACCAGUGGCGAAGGCGGCCUACUGGGCACCAACUGACGCUGAGGCUCGAAAGUGUGGGUAGCAAACAGGAUUAGAUACCCCAGUAGUC